RNAcentral lists this long non-coding RNA (942 nucleotides) under Helianthus annuus (common sunflower). RNAcentral's name for it is "hypothetical non coding rna". The record is from RNAcentral. Lineage: Eukaryota; Viridiplantae; Streptophyta; Magnoliopsida; Asterales; Asteraceae.
UGAAAACACACAAACUCUUUCGAGUUUCAAUAGUGUCAAGAACAUGAGCUAUGUGUGCAAGAUGAUUACUUUCAUAAGUUAUUUUCAUGACCUUAAGCUCCAAAUCUCUAAACCAUAUUUAAACACCUAUUAAACUCGAAAUCGAACACAUUCAACUUUCUAGUCUCAACAACCUCGUCACAUUGGAUAAAUCGGAAAGCAUAUGCAAUUUUGUGAGUAUACUCGAACCCAUUUUUUACUUUUAACACUUUGGGUGCAACAUGUAUUCUAUAUUAAACGCACAUGACACUUGAAACUUAUUUGAAACUUACUCUAUCCAUUUAACAUGAAACAUGAAACUUGUGAAUCUUAAGACUAUUUUGUGCUAUGUGAACGUUUAAUUCUUGUGUGUAGUUCCGCCUUAACAAUAGUAGCGCUAUAGGAGUAAUGCACCUCCCCGUUAGUCUUUGGGGUAUUGUUAGGAGGAGACAUAUCAACCUCCCGUGAAACUUUGGGUUAGGUACUUUAACGCAUUGGGAAACUUGGGCUAUCACUUGGACUACGUAAACUAGCACGUUGAAACUAUUUUAUUAUGUUCAUGUUGGAUUGAGUCUUUUAUUCUAUUAUGCUAUGUAACCAAACUUGUAUACUCGCUCUUUGCUUUUGCAUUGAAACUCUAUUUUAAUACAUGCUGCAGGUUGUUAGACAAGACGAUGAAGAAAUCAAGUUAGGAUGGACUUAGAUACUCACUCAAUAAUAAACAAUGUUGUUGCAAUUUGUCUUAUUUGAAACCAUGUAAUUCAAAUUUUAGUUAUUUAUGAAAUUGGAUUUAAAUUAUAUUGUCACAUAGUGUUAUGAUGUCUCUUGCAAUCUUCACACUUCGUCUCAUCCCGAUGUUUCCGCCAUUGGUUGGGGUGUGACAGAAGGGGUAGGGAUAAUGUUUUAUGGGUGAGUGAUCUUCGU